CCAGCUCCAAUAGCGUAUAUUAAAGUUGUUGCAGUUAAAAAGUUCGUAGUUGAAUGUCUGGGCCCAGCCGCGGUCGACCUUGUGUCUGCACUAGCGGUCUGGCGCCCAUACUUGCAGGGGCUGCGGGUGUGGUUCACGCCCGCCCGUAGGACCUGCAUCAAUUACUGUGAGCAAAUUAGAGUGUUCCAAGCGGGCAGGACUGCUUGAAUACAUUAGCAUGGAAUAAUGAGAUAGGACCCUGGUGCUAUUUCGUUGGUUGCGUACCGGAGUAAUGAUUAACAGGGACAGUUGGGGGUAUUCGUAUUUGAAUGUCAGAGGUGAAAUUCUUGGAUUUUUCAAAGACGAACAACUGCGAAAGCAUUUACCAAGGAUGCUUUCA
This 379-nucleotide ribosomal RNA is filed under the name uncultured Bicosoeca. Its description in RNAcentral is "SSU rRNA". It matches the Rfam family "Eukaryotic small subunit ribosomal RNA", at positions 585 to 972 of the family's 1831-position model. Lineage: Eukaryota; Bigyra; Bicosoecida. The record is from RNAcentral.